Molecule: transfer RNA, 85 nt
Filed under: Marinobacter sp.
Lineage: Bacteria; Pseudomonadati; Pseudomonadota; Gammaproteobacteria; Pseudomonadales; Marinobacteraceae
Also listed under: 4 other names
Description: tRNA-Leu
Rfam family: tRNA
About the family: Transfer RNA (tRNA) molecules are approximately 80 nucleotides in length. Their secondary structure includes four short double-helical elements and three loops (D, anti-codon, and T loops).
Source: RNAcentral
GCCCGGGUGGUGAAACUGGUAGACACGCUAUCUUGAGGGGGUAGUGGCGAAAGCUGUGCCGGUUCGAGUCCGGCCCCGGGCACCA